CUGGCCUCUCACUAUGUUGCCCAGGCUGGUCUCGAACACCUGGCCUCAGCUCCGUCAGGAGUACGAGACCAGCCUGGGCAACAUAGUGAGACCCAAU
This 97-nucleotide microRNA precursor is filed under the name Homo sapiens (human). RNAcentral's name for it is "mir-1285 microRNA precursor family". It matches the Rfam family "mir-1285 microRNA precursor family". Lineage: Eukaryota; Metazoa; Chordata; Mammalia; Primates; Hominidae. The record is from Rfam by way of RNAcentral.